GAGUUUGAUUAUGGCUCAGGAUGAACGCUGGCGGCGUGCUUAACACAUGCAAGUCGAACGAACGACUAUUAACAGAACCUUUCGGGGCGAAGAUGAUAGAAGUUAGUGGCGGACGGGUGCGUAACGCGUGGGUAAUCUGCCUUUGUCAAAGGAAUAACUAUUCGAAAGAAUAGCUAAAACCGUAUAAAAUAUUAAUAGGGCAUCCUAAUAAUAUCAAAACGAUAGUGGACAAAGAUGAGCCCGCGUCUGAUUAGCUAGUUGGUGAGAUAAAAGCCCACCAAGGCAACGAUCAGUAGCCGACCUGAGAGGGUGAACGACCACAUUGGAACUGAGACACGGUCCAAACUCCUACGGGAGGCAGCAGUGGGGAAUAUUGCACAAUGGGGGGAACCCUGAUGCAGCAACGCCGCGUGAGUGAAGAAGGCAUCCGUGUCGUAAAACUCUGUAGUAGGGGAAGAAAGAAAUGACA
Molecule: ribosomal RNA, 469 nt
Filed under: Filifactor alocis
Lineage: Bacteria; Bacillati; Bacillota; Clostridia; Peptostreptococcales; Filifactoraceae
Description: bacterial SSU rRNA
Rfam family: Bacterial small subunit ribosomal RNA
Source: RNAcentral